GGUGUCCUACGGGGCGCAGCAGUGAGGAAUAUUGGUCAAUGGGCGCGAGCCUGAACCAGCCACGUCGCGUGAGGGAAGACGGUCCUAUGGAUUGUAAACCUCUUUUGUCGGGGAGCAAAAGACGCCACGCGUGGCGUUCCGAGAGUACCCGAAGAAAAAGCAUCGGCUAACUACGUGCCAGCAGCCGCGGUAAUACGUAGGUGGCAAGCGUUGUCCGGAUUUAUUGGGCGUAAAGCGAGUGCAGGCGGCUCCAUAAGUCU
Molecule: ribosomal RNA, 260 nt
Filed under: uncultured bacterium
Lineage: Bacteria
Description: partial 16S ribosomal RNA
Rfam family: Bacterial small subunit ribosomal RNA
Source: RNAcentral